UUGAAACUGGUAGACAGAAUGAUUGCAUUUAAAGUAAAAAAAGGUUAGGGUUAGGGUUAUUUUUUUAAUGUUGAUUUUUGCACGCAACUACUUCUCCCCUGAACGAAGUGCAGGCCAAAAAUGGGAAAACCUGCCUGAUUGAACGACACUUCCGAUCCCAGCCCCCAGACUGACAUCACUUAUGGUUCCAGCCAGAUGACAUCACUUCCGCCUUUCGGCUUAUAAAGCCGCCAUCUUUCCUCCACCUGUCAGUCUUGAGAAACCGCCCAAUGAGGUCAAAUGUUUCCACCCCUUCAGUCCCAGAGCUUCUAAAGUGUGACUGGCCAGAAGGAGGUUUCACUUACUGCGGAGACGACCUGACCAAAGGAGCUCCAAGCCUGACAAACCAUCGCCAGAGCCAAAUUAAUCCGAGGCAACCCCACUACAUGGCAAUUACCUUUUUUGUUGUUUUCUUAUGCCAUUGAGUGUUGUGUUGUUAGUAAAUGGGGAGGGUCGUGUUGGCAUCCCAAAAUAUUCCUGAGUUGUCGACAUUUCUUCAUUUGGAUGACCACACCGUGCAGUAAAUGAAACUUGAUUUAUAAUGCAAUGGAGGCAAGCAAAAGAGAAAAUUGGAAAGAAGCGAUGACUUUUAGUUCAUAGAUAAUGUUUGGUUUAGGCAGGCAAAUAGACGUUGUUAUUAUCUGAAAAAACAUGGAAGUCUAGGAAGACAGGAGGAAUAAAAUACAGAGCAUUAGCUAUUGCAUUCACUUUUAGAGGCACAACUUAUAAUAGUCGACGAAAACUUCAGUAUACACUUUUCAAUAACCUUAGUCAUAUUUACAGUAUCACAAACAUUUAUGGUUAUUUUAAAAGAUUAUGGCUUAGGUGUACAAAACGAUUUGAUCAUGAUGACUCAUUUUCAGCACUAUUAAGCCUAAGGGCAUAUGUGCUUUAGUUGGGAGCUUAGGAAGCCGACUAUCCUCUGGAAAAUGUCCCCAGUAUCACUUUUAUCUUCUAGCAAUUACUGACUGCAGAUGCACAUUUUCUUUUUCUUUUCAUUUUUUUGUCCACUAGGGCAGCAAUUUAUAAAGCUUAAAGCUGCUGCCCCAUAGGUCCAGUGAUCGUAGCUGAAUUCCAGGUCUUUUCACAUUCUCGCUGUGUUCCAGUAUGGAGGAAUAUUUCAGAUAAAUAAACAUGCAAAUAAAUACAUUGUGAAAUGUGACAGCAAAAAAAAAAAUAAUAAUAAAAAAAUUGCAUGUGAACAUCUAUUCAUCCAUCCAUUUUUUAAAGUUUUUUAUCUAGAGCAGGGUCAUGAAGAAGUUGAAGCCUACCCAGGCAAGUACAGGGUGCAAGGAAGGAACAAUCCCUGGAACAGUG
Polypterus senegalus (gray bichir) is the source of this 1356-nucleotide long non-coding RNA. RefSeq lists it as uncharacterized. The transcript has 3 exons. NCBI's taxonomy places the organism in Eukaryota, Metazoa, Chordata, Cladistia, Polypteriformes, Polypteridae. The record is from RefSeq and is a predicted model, not a curated record.